This is a non-coding RNA of Podarcis lilfordi (Lilford's wall lizard), 82 nucleotides long. The record is from the annotation of a GenBank genome assembly. NCBI's taxonomy places the organism in Eukaryota, Metazoa, Chordata, Lepidosauria, Squamata, Lacertidae.
GUCAAUUGUUAUUAGUAUAGCUAAAAGGGUGGAUGUCUGGCUGUUAACCAGAAGGUUGGUGGUUCGAGCCCACCCAAGGACG